RNAcentral lists this ribosomal RNA (337 nucleotides) under Brassica oleracea var. oleracea. RNAcentral describes it as "rRNA SSU_rRNA_eukarya". It matches the Rfam family "Eukaryotic small subunit ribosomal RNA", at positions 611 to 957 of the family's 1831-position model. The record is from Rfam by way of RNAcentral. Lineage: Eukaryota; Viridiplantae; Streptophyta; Magnoliopsida; Brassicales; Brassicaceae.
UGUUGCAGUUAAAAAGCUCAUAGUUGAACCUUGGGAUGGGUCGCCCGGUCCGCCUUCGGUGAGCACCGGUCGGCUUGUCUCUUCUGUCGGCGAUACGCUCCUGGCCUUAACUGGCCGGGUCGUGCCUCUGGCGCAGUUACUUUGAAGAAAUUAGAGUGCUCAAAGCAAGCCUACGCUCUGUAUACAUUAGCAUGGGAUAAUAUCAUAGGAUUUCGAUCCUACUGUGUUGGCCUUCGGGAUCGGAGUAAUGAUUAACAGGGACAGUCGGUGUGAUAACCCGCCCUUUGGGAUAAAAUGGUCGAGAGAGCAAAAGUCAGAAUCCAGAGCCGAGCUUUUG